Molecule: unclassified non-coding RNA, 572 nt
Filed under: Hevea brasiliensis (rubber tree)
Lineage: Eukaryota; Viridiplantae; Streptophyta; Magnoliopsida; Malpighiales; Euphorbiaceae
Source: RNAcentral
AUUCGGUGCAAUGUGUUUAUACGCACACAGAGCUGGGGUAUCCCAAAAGAAUUAUCACCAUUCAUUGUUGCAACCUGAGAAUUCUUCUUCUGAGGAUUUGGUGACUUCUCUUUCUUUUUCCACACACCUUGAAAUUUUGAUCCUGUUGUGCAUCUGGUUAAUGCUGGCAUAGUUGGUACAUAUGUGUUCCGUGAUCCACAGCCCGAUUUUGCCUUGCUUGCAUAAUAUUGAAGACACCUAUCCAAGCCAGACAUCAAAUCUGGUAGCAAUGCUGGAUGCAUUGGUAUUGGGAGCUGAAAAUAAGUAUCCAAAGUUUCAUCAAUAAUUCGCAGGACUUCAACAGCAGAUGGAGCAAAUCCUUCUUGAUUUGCUUGUGGAUUCCAGACCUCUUGUUGCAAAUUUCUGUCGACCCAUUCCUUGAGUCUAUCCAGUCUUGCUUUGAUCCAUGCUUUUACCAGAUUGGCAAUUGCAGCUUCAGCUUCAUAUGGAGGCAUUUCGCGGAUUAUUGCCUUCCCACCAUCAUCACUAUCUACAGAAUCUUCUACAGCAAUUUGCACAAGAUCUUUCUCCAG